GGAGGAGCUGAGAGAAAGUAAAGUACUUAUUUCAGUCCACUUCUGACAGACCUUGUCACUGUGCCUGCAACCUGGUCAGAGAGGAACUCUUCUCCCAGGAUGGACAAUUCUCAUGCUACAAAGUCCUGUGUGCUCAUCCUUCUUGUGGUCCUACUGUGUGCAGAAAGAGACUCUCAGAGAAAAAAAGCAAAGAACAGUUAUUGCUUUUCCAUCUGCCCUACUAAUAAAUAUUUCACGAUCCUGGAUGCUACUGUCAGCGUGAAGAGUUUCUGUUGCGAGGAAGACCUCUGCAAUGCAGAGAUUGCCACAGGAAGCAGCUCCUAGACCACGGCAGGGGUGCUUCUGUUCAGCCUGGGCUCAGUCCUCCUGCAGACCCUGCUGUGAUGGUCCUUCCAACAACCCUCACCCUUGUCCUUUUAUCCUCAUGUGUAAGCACUUUUUCCUGGAGCCCUCUAGUGAUGAAUUGUGAGUUGUAGAAGCUCCAAGGUGGGGGACUUUAUAACCUCAGCUGGGUAGUUCCCCACUCCUCUCUAGGGCUUUCGAAUCUGUACUUCCUGGAAUGUUAUUUUGUUUUGACUUGCUACUUUUGGCCCUGGAGGCAAGGGGCCAGCACAGGGAAUAGGCAAAUUUCCAAGGUAUUAUGCCAUCCCCAUCCACAUGUAAGUAUCUGGGGUCCUCCAGGGUUCCCACAUGUGCUGUUCAAUGUCUCUCUGUUGAGUUCAAUAAAGACUUUGUUCUCCCAGCUAA
RNAcentral lists this long non-coding RNA (747 nucleotides) under Mus spicilegus (steppe mouse). RNAcentral's name for it is "lncRNA (ENSMSIG00000021073.1)". Lineage: Eukaryota; Metazoa; Chordata; Mammalia; Rodentia; Muridae. The record is from RNAcentral.